This is a long non-coding RNA of Ctenopharyngodon idella (grass carp), 1130 nucleotides long. RefSeq lists it as uncharacterized. NCBI's taxonomy places the organism in Eukaryota, Metazoa, Chordata, Actinopteri, Cypriniformes, Xenocyprididae. The transcript is spliced from 4 exons. The record is from RefSeq and is a predicted model, not a curated record.
CUUCCAUAUAAUGAACUAUCAACAAUCCACUGUUAAAAAUCUGUGGGUGAGAAAUGAAAGAAAAAGGUAAAAGGCUCCUGUGGGAAUCAUGAGGCCACGUUUAGUCCGAGCAGAUACGAGUGUCGGUGGAUGAAUGACAAACCCUAGAAUAGCCACCCAGGUAGUCGGUGCAGGUUGCUCCGUUCUGGCAAGGAUUGGGAAUGCAUUCAUCCACCUGCUCCUCACAGUAGCUACCUGUGUAUCCGGCCUGACAGUGACAGUAGUGUGUGUUUCCAGCAUCCAGACACUGUCCAGAGUUACGACAUAACCGCACCACAUCUACACCUAAAAGUGGGAGAAUCAAACAUCACAGCAGAGGGUUAAACCCUGAACAGCUUCACCAAUAUGUGGGUCUGGAGUCACACUCGUUGAUGUCAUGCUGGCAGUAGUUUCCAGUGAACCCCGCUGGGCACAGGCAGAGGGGGCGCUAAUGGACAACAGAGGAAGAAGGAGUGCUAGAGCCUUUUUCUGGUACACUUUAUCAUGAGGCAGAUCAGUUGGCUGAUUUUAACAAUCAGGUUCUGAAAACUGAGCUGAGAUCAGUGGUUUCAUGAUAGCUAUGUCUGGAGGCAUAAUAUAAAAUUUUCUUUGCAUGUCAGAAUGACAGUACAACUACCAUUUAAAAGUAUUUUUAAGUAGUUUCCAUUUGUGGUAUCGGCAUGUUGGGUUUGUGUAAGAAACGGUCACAGUGGACAGGUAUUCUUCAGUCUACAGACUACAGUAUAUUUAGGGAAAAUUUGUUUCUCACCAAUGAAUUUAGUAUUUUUAUUAUGCAUUUUGUAUUAAACAUUUUAGGUUUUUAUAUAGUUUUAGAGUAAGAAGUAUAAAUACAUAUGUUUAAUUAGUUAUUAGCCUAGGGUUAAUUAUGUUCUACAGGUGAGUUUUUCUGUGUUCUCUCUUAAAGUCUUCCAUGUAUUGGAUUUGAAUUUUAGCCAAUUGUUCUUUGGUGUGUAUCUAUUACUGCUUUGUUGAUAUGUUUCUAAGAUAGUGAAGAUGGGUUUGACUUGUUACCUCUUGGUUGUAACAAUUGUCUGUUGUAGCCAGUAUUUACACUUGAAAACUUAUACAAAUGCCACAAAUAAGAGUGCAGU